AAAAAGUUAGUUUAUAUAAAACAUUAAUUUGUCAAAUUAAAGAAGCUUAUCUAUAAGCACUUUUUA
Molecule: transfer RNA, 66 nt
Filed under: Meschia woodwardi
Lineage: Eukaryota; Metazoa; Arthropoda; Insecta; Hemiptera; Meschiidae
Description: tRNA-Asp
Source: RNAcentral